GACGAACGCUGGCGGCGUGCUUAACACAUGCAAGUCGAACGGAAAGGCCCUUCGGGGUACUCGAGUGGCGAACGGGUGAGUAACACGUGGGUGAUCUGCCCUGCACUUUGGGAUAAUCCUGGGAAACUGGGUCUAAUACCGAAUAGGACCGCGCGCUUCAUGGUGUGUGGUGGCAAGCUUUUGCGGUGUGGGAUGGGCCCGCGGCCUAUCAGCUUGUUGGUGGGGUAAUGGCCUACCAAGGCGACGACUGGUAGCCGGCCUGAGAGGGUGACCGGCCACACUGGGACUGAGAUACGGACCAGACUCCUACGGGAGGCAGCAGUGGGGAAUCUUGCACAAUGGGCCCAAGCCUGAUGCAGCGACGCCGCGUGCGGGAUGACGGCCUUCGGGUUGUAAACCUCUUUCACCAGGGACGAAGCGCAAGUGACGGUACCUGGAGAAGAAGCACCGGCCAACUACGUG
Molecule: ribosomal RNA, 462 nt
Filed under: uncultured bacterium
Lineage: Bacteria
Description: partial 16S ribosomal RNA
Rfam family: Bacterial small subunit ribosomal RNA
Source: RNAcentral